This 449-nucleotide ribosomal RNA is filed under the name uncultured bacterium. RNAcentral's name for it is "partial 16S ribosomal RNA". It matches the Rfam family "Bacterial small subunit ribosomal RNA", at positions 30 to 523 of the family's 1533-position model. The record is from RNAcentral.
AUUGAACGCUGGCGGCAUGCCUAACACAUGCAAGUCGAACGGAUCCUUCGGGAUUAGUGGCGGACGGGUGAGUAACACGUGGGAACGUGCCCUUUGGUUCGGAACAACUCAGGGAAACUUGAGCUAAUACCGGAUGUGCCCUUCGGGGGAAAGAUUUAUCGCCAUUGGAGCGGCCCGCGUCUGAUUAGCUAGUUGGUGAGGUAAAGGCUCACCAAGGCGACGAUCAAUAGCUGGUCUGAGAGGAUGAUCAGCCACAUUGGGACUGAGACACGGCCCAAACUCCUACGGGAGGCAGCAGUGGGGAAUCUUGCGCAAUGGGCGAAAGCCUGACGCAGCCAUGCCGCGUGAAUGAUGAAGGUCUUAGGAUUGUAAAAUUCUUUCACCGGGGACGAUAAUGACGGUACCCGGAGAAGAAGCCCCGGCUAACUUCGUGCCAGCCGCCGCGGUAA